AAAUCGCCGCCGACGGAGACGUUAUGCGAGUCCUCCGCCAAAAAAUCCGCCGACUGGCCCCCGCCGCCGUCCUCCAGUAGCAUCUGGCGCUCCCGCUGGUCGAGAUCGGAGGCGAGAGCGGCGAGGUCGAGCUCGGAAAAGAACGCCCCCUGCAGGACCGUGUUGACGCAGUGGACGGCGCAGAGCUUCGACUCUUGCACCUCGUGGUACAGCAGCCCGCCGUUACUCGGCGCUCCCUCCAUCGCCGGAACUGAGUUUUGGAAUCGCCGCCGUGAGAGU
Molecule: unclassified non-coding RNA, 279 nt
Filed under: Hevea brasiliensis (rubber tree)
Lineage: Eukaryota; Viridiplantae; Streptophyta; Magnoliopsida; Malpighiales; Euphorbiaceae
Source: RNAcentral